UUCCUUUUUCAGUUUUGGGUGAGGAAAACAGAGUAAGAGGAUUAGGAAGUAAGUGCUGGGUGGCUCUGUGGAUGGAGAGCCAGGCCUGGAGACAAGAAGUUCUGGAUUCAAAUCUAGCCUCAGGUUCCUUCCUCCUUCCCUGCUCAGCCUGAAGAGGACUAAGACCUGCCCCAAGCAGGGAGCCUGAACCCAGAGGGAAUGUCCCCUGCCACCCAAAGGCGCCCAUGGCAGGAGUUACUGACAUUCAAGGAUGUGGCUGUGGACUUCACCCAGGAGGAAUGGUGCCUCUUGGACCGUUCUCAGAAAGAGCUGUACAAGGAGGUCAUGCUGGAAAACUCCCAGAACCUGCUCUCCCUGGGAAUUCCAGUUCUCAGAGAAGAUUUGAACCCCUGUUUUGGGAAAAGAAAAAUAUCAUGGAUCCUAGAUCAAAAAGGACAAAGGACCUGUUCUCCAGGUGAGUAAGAUGAAAGCAGGUACAUGAGGGCUAUUAUUACAAGAAGCAUUUCUAUUAGUGAAGGGAAUGCUAAGCUUAGAUACAGGAAGAAGCUGACUUGGAAUUCUUCUUUAGAUGUUUAUUAGCAGUAUCUUCAGAAUAUUACUGAAUUUAUGGUCCUCAAUUUCCCCAUCUAUGAAAUUAAGGGGUUGGACACCAUGGCCUUUCAUUUCUCUUCUAGUGAGUGAUAAAUCUAUAAAUCUAUAAAAAGGUCAUUGCUUGAAACUUUAGGGCAUGGACAUAUGCUGAAAGUCUCCAAAAAGGGCUAUCCCAUAUGAGCUCUUUCCUAGACUUUGUUCAAAUCACCAAGCAUUUACUAAGUACUUUCUAUGUGCCAGACUAUGUGCCAAUGAAUCAGUUGUGCUCUAGAGUUCACAAUCCAGUGGGGAAGACAACAGGCAGACAGUUAUGUGGAGACCCCUAUAUCCAGGGAUUGUAUUUAGGUAGCACUUUAGGGAAAGUGGGGUGAGCUUUCUAAGCAUGAGGGGCAGACAAGGAAAACAUGGAUCCAGGAGAUCAAAGGUCCUGUGGAAAGAAUAAGGAGGUGGCCUCUAACCCAGGAUUAUCCCAUAUGCAGGGGGAGUUGGGAGAAAAAAUCUGGAAAGGUAGGUGAGGGGAAGAUGAUGAAGGAUGUUAGCAAUGAGAGGAUUGGAGGAUUGUAUAUUGGAUCCUGGUGAUAGGGAGCCACCAAAGCUCACUGAGUAGGCAGUCACCUGGUCAGAAUAUGCUUUGUUUAUGAAGGUGGACUUGGCAGCCGCCUGGAAAGUUGAGUGUGAUAGAGAGAGAUUUGAAGCAGGGGGACCAACCUGCAGACUCUAGCAACACCUCAGGCAUGAAAUUAUAAAGGCCUGGACCAAGCAAGUGGCAAUGUUGGGGAGGAAAAGGGUUGGGUGCAAAAAAGGGUAACAAAAGUAGACUCUGUAAGAAUUAAAUGGGGGAUUUUGAGUAUGGGAGAGAUGAUGAAAAAUGAAUGAUAUCUAGGGUAUGAGCCUGGAUAAUUAAUUUGAGGGUGAUGUCUGGCAUAGCAAUAGUAAAGUAAGAAGAUGGAAGGAUUGUUUGAAAGAUAAGUAUAGUUUAGUUUGGGACAUGGUAGGAGAGAACCAGGAGAGAGUACUGUCUCUAAACUAGAGAGGAGAGUCUCCUGAGAAACAGUGUGAUUGAUAGUUUCAGAGUUGGAAGAGAGAUCAGGAAAAUGAGGAUUGAGAAAAGGCCAUUGGAGUUAGCCAUUUUGAAGUGACUUACAACUUUUGUAAGGGGUAAAAAUUAUCGUUGGUCUGAAUAUUUGAAAGUUGUUACCCAGGGAUUCAAUUACUAAAUCCCAAUGAAUUACUCAAGUCAGAAUGGUUUUUAUGGUAGUUUAUUUACAAUAGAGGGAAGAAAUUAAGGAAAAGAGAGAGACAGAGAGAGAGAGAGAGAGACAGAGACAGAGAGAGAGAGAGAGAGAGAGAGAGAGAGAGCUGCUCCGGCCUGGUCUGAACCAAGAAGGAAUUCAGAGGCAGAGGAUUAAAUUUAAAAGGGCUUCCAGCCACGAGGCCUCCUCCAAGAUGAGGGGCUUCUCCAGAGCCUAGUGAUUCCUAAAAGCCAAGGGAAAAGGAGUCCCAAGACUAUGGGCCCCUCCAGAGGCUUGUGCCUCCAGAAAAGCCAAGGAAAGGAAGUCAGCCUUUUCACUCACCAUGUGACAAAGGGAAGCAGUCUGAGAUCUCAAGCCCGAGGUCCUCCACAGUCAAGUUCCAAGGUGAAGACCCCUCACAGGAAGUGACCAUGAAAUUUAAAGGCAGUUCUUUGUGUCACUUCCAGUGCCUUAUGUGUACCAAUGGUGGUUUAAACUUGGCUCUGGACUUCCCAGGGGGUCAGUCAGUUAUUUCUGAUUUGUCACUUGCUAGAACAUGUGGGUCAUAGACCUUCCUCCCCCCCACUUAAUCCUUAAGUGGGGGUGUAUACAUUCCUGGUGGCUAAAAUUCUAAAGAAUAAGUAGGAUAGAGUUAAUCUCACUUUUAUACUUUGUAGGGAAAUGUUUUAAAUUAACAAUAAAGUUGGAAGCCAGACUGGGGAGAAGCUUUUU
Molecule: long non-coding RNA, 2555 nt
Organism: Monodelphis domestica (gray short-tailed opossum)
Lineage: Eukaryota; Metazoa; Chordata; Mammalia; Didelphimorphia; Didelphidae
Source: Ensembl